AGCUGAGACGCCCCUGAUGCCCCCUCACGCACCUGUGUGGUGUGGCUGCCCUUGGAACCAGCUGCUUCUGACGUAGUCCAGGUGCACGGUGGCCCUGAGCUCCUCCAGAGAGGUGUGGGGUGACGCUCUUGGGGUGCACGCGUACUGUGGUUCUGGUCUGAGGGACACGGGGGACUCCUGGGGGUCGCCCUGUGACAGGUUUCCAUGACCCGCAGUCUGCCUCUCCCCUGUGGACACUGGCCCCUGGUGCCCAGCGCCCCCACUCCUCAGCAUAGCCUGCACAGCCGUCAAGGCCGCAUGUCCGCCCUGGGGUGAGGGACGGCCUCACGGCUGCCCAGGGGUGAGGGACAGGAAGCAAGCAACACGAGAAAUUUCUUAAAACAGAUCACAGUGGCUACAGGUGACCUUUUCCUCCUUCCCUCCACGCUGGGGUCCUGGCCCAGCCCAGCUGCGGAUGGAGGGAGGCCCCUGACUCAUGGGAGACGGGUCCCAGGGGUGGCACAAGCCCGUGGUCGUGGAGGCGUCCAGGCGGGGAGAUGCUGGCCCUCGCCCCGGAGCCGGGCGUCAGGUCAGACCUGGGCAGCCGCAGCCUCGUCCAGAGGCUCAAUGUUGUCUGAGCAGUAUCUCGGGAUGCUCGUGGCCUUCUCCUCAAGGUUGCUGCCUCAUGGUCACAACACGGCUGCCACAGGUCCAGGCAUUGUGUGUGUGUGCAGACCAGGGAGAAACAGGGAGGAGCCACUAGCCAUAUCUGCCCCCAUUUGUCCUGAAAGCAAAAGCCCCAAACGUCUCCAGAAGACUGUCCUUUAGGUCCCAGGGCCACUCUUUGCUGCAAAAGAGUCUGGGAAAUAAGGAACAGAUUUGACCUAGUCUUGACCGAUUGCCUGGGCUGAAUAUGUUGUCUCUGGGGCAGACACUACCACUGCAUACCCAUUCUUUCCCUCUUGAUUUUUAGGAAUGGAACCCCUCAAUUUUAUCUGUAUUACCCCAAAUAAAGCCCGAUUCUCUAUCUCCUUUACA
This 1017-nucleotide long non-coding RNA is filed under the name Ursus maritimus (polar bear). Its description in RNAcentral is "lncRNA (ENSUMAG00000015696.1)". The record is from RNAcentral. Lineage: Eukaryota; Metazoa; Chordata; Mammalia; Carnivora; Ursidae.